Molecule: small nucleolar RNA, 67 nt
Organism: Junco hyemalis (dark-eyed junco)
Lineage: Eukaryota; Metazoa; Chordata; Aves; Passeriformes; Passerellidae
Source: Ensembl
GCUGUGAUGAAACACUGAAAUGCCUCCGACCGCUCUGUGGGGAAACCCAGAGGCUGUUUCUGAGCCA